GGACUACAGGGGUAUCUAAUCCCGUUCGCUCCCCUGGCUUUCGCACCUCAGCGUCAGAGACGCGCCAGGACACUGCCUUCGCCUUCGGUGUUCCUCCGGAUCUCUACGCAUUUCACCACUCCACCCGGAAUUCCGUGUCCCUCUCGCGCUCUCAAGUCAAGCCGUAUUCGCGUCUCCUCGGAGAGUUAAGCCCUCCGCUGUCACACCAAACGCGCCUGACCGCCUGCAUGCCCUUUACGCCCAGUAACUCCGGACAACGCUCGCCCCCUACGUAUUACCGCGGCUGCUGGCAC
Molecule: ribosomal RNA, 293 nt
Filed under: uncultured bacterium
Lineage: Bacteria
Description: partial 16S ribosomal RNA
Source: RNAcentral